AGGGUGUAAACGCUGCAGACUUGGUGUUGGAGGCCCUUUGGGGGCAUUCAGUGCCGGAGAGAAGUUGUUAAGUCUGCUACUUGGGGAGUACGUCCGCAAGGAUGAAACUUAAAGGAAUUGGCGGGGGGAGGCACCGCAACGGGAGGAGCGUGCGGUUUAAUUGGAUUCAACACCGUAAACUCACCAGGGAAGACUGUUACAUGAAGGCCGAGAUGAAGACUCUGCUAGAUUUUCAGAGAGGUGGUGCAUGGCGUCAGUGACU
This 262-nucleotide ribosomal RNA is filed under the name uncultured archaeon. Its description in RNAcentral is "partial 16S ribosomal RNA". It matches the Rfam family "Archaeal small subunit ribosomal RNA", at positions 748 to 1008 of the family's 1478-position model. The record is from RNAcentral.